AUAUAAAAGGGGAUGCGCACUGGGGCUUUCCAUCAUUCGGAGUUAUUCCUUAUCUCUUCUUUCUUAUAAGUCUCCUAGGUUGUCUGAAUAGCUCUCUUCCUUUUCUUAUUAGGACAAGUCCUAAAAUAGUAAGGAUAGAUAUGAUUUUAGGACAAGGGUCUAGGAAGAGAAUUAGGAAAGGCAAGGAGGAAGAACGAUAGAGAUAGAAAGGCU
RNAcentral lists this long non-coding RNA (213 nucleotides) under Elaeis guineensis (African oil palm). RNAcentral describes it as "long non-coding RNA (EGUI_LNC064238)". Lineage: Eukaryota; Viridiplantae; Streptophyta; Magnoliopsida; Arecales; Arecaceae. The record is from RNAcentral.